Molecule: ribosomal RNA, 306 nt
Filed under: cf. Paramamoea sp. New Zealand CG114
Lineage: Eukaryota; Metazoa; Arthropoda; Arachnida; Araneae; Amphinectidae
Description: partial 12S ribosomal RNA
Source: RNAcentral
AGGAAGUAAUAAAAAUAAAACCUAUUUAUACCGGCGGCAUUUAUCUUUAGAGGAACUUGUUUAAUAAUCGAUAACCCACGUUAAAUUUCACUACAACCAUUAAUUUAUAUACCGCCAUUAUAAGAGUUAAUACAAAUAUAUAUUCUAAUUAAAACAUAAAAAAUUAGGUCAAGGUGUAAUUCAUAUUGAAGAAUAAAUGAGUUACAAUAAUUUAAAUUUAAGGAUCAUAUUUUUAUAAAUUCAUAUAAAAUAGAAUUUAACAGUAAUUUAAUAAUUUAAUUUUAAAUUAAUUUAAAAUUAAUGUGC